This 1014-nucleotide ribosomal RNA is filed under the name Notocomplana japonica. RNAcentral describes it as "partial 28S ribosomal RNA". It matches the Rfam family "Eukaryotic large subunit ribosomal RNA", at positions 68 to 885 of the family's 3401-position model. The record is from RNAcentral. Lineage: Eukaryota; Metazoa; Platyhelminthes; Polycladida; Notocomplanidae. RNAcentral also lists the same sequence under 1 other name.
ACAAGGAUUCCUCUAGUAACGGCGAGCGAACGAGGAAAAGCCCAGCACCGAAUCCUGUAUCGUCCUGAUACUAGGAAAUGUGGUGUUUAGGCCGUGCUUUGUGCCGGUAUGAUUCUCCUCAAGUCCACUUGAUUGUGGCUUCAGGCCCAGAGAGGGUGUAAGGCCCGUGGAGGCGAGUCGUCCGGUGCCCGGCACGUCCUUAGAGUCGGGUUGUUUGGGAAUGCAGCCCAAAGCGGGUGGUAAACUCCAUCCAAGGCUAAAUACUAGCACGAGUCCGAUAGCGAAGAAGUACCGCGAGGGAAAGUUGAAAAGAACUUUGAAGAGAGAGUUCAAGAGUACGUGAAACCGCUGAGAGGCAAACUGGUGGAGCUGAAAUGGUCUUGAGGAAUUCAGCCCUUCCUGCUAGAGUUGACGUCGGUUGUGAGAUCUCACGACUCCGCUGGCGGCAUCUUCGUGAAGGAUAGGUGCACUUUCUUCUUGAUCGGACCACGACCAGCGACUUGCUUGCCUGACAUGGGUCGGAAGGUAGCGUUGGCUUCGGCGAACGUGUUAUAGCCGCCUAUUCGGUAGUUGAGCGAGGCGUUGGAUGCGAUGAGUUGGCGCUUGCCCUCUGGGCUCGUACGUUGCCUCUUUCAGGCGUGUCGCCGAUUUCACUGCCUUUGGCAGGGGUGUCGAAGAUGUGUCGGUUAGAAUGGUGGCCUCUGCGAUUGGCGUCGAAAGUCUGUGGUUGUGAAGUAGGCAGUCCACCUGACCCGUCUUGAAACACGGACCAAGGAGUCUAACAUGUGCGCGAGUCAUUGGGCUCUACGAAACCUAAAGGCGAAGUGAAAGUAAAGAUCCAUUUCCAUGGAUUGAGGUGGGAUCCUGAGUCACGUGCUCGGGCGCACUACCGGCCCGUUCGACAUGUCUUCAUGCGGGCGGAGCAAGAGCGUACACGUUGGGACCCGAAAGAUGGUGAACUAUGCUUGCGCAGGUCGAAGCCAGAGGAAACUCUGGUGGAGGACCGUAGCGAUU